This 531-nucleotide ribosomal RNA is filed under the name Peltospira operculata. RNAcentral describes it as "partial 16S ribosomal RNA". It matches the Rfam family "Bacterial large subunit ribosomal RNA", at positions 1813 to 2607 of the family's 2925-position model. The record is from RNAcentral. Lineage: Eukaryota; Metazoa; Mollusca; Gastropoda; Neomphalida; Peltospiridae.
ACAUGGCUCUUUGUAGAAAAUAAGAUGGAGAGUCGGACCUGCCCAGUGAGUUUUAAGACUUUAACGGCCGCGGUACCCUGACCGUGCAAAGGUAGCAUAAUCAUUUGCCUUUUAAUUGAAGGCUGGUAUGAAUGGUUUGACGAAAACAAAGCUGUCUCUUUCUUAUUAGUUAGAAAUUAAUUUUGAUGUGAAGAAGCAUUAAUAGGCCUAAAAGACAAGAAGACCCUGUUGAGCUUUAAUAGAGAAGAAAGCAAGUAUAUGAAUCAAAAUAAUGUUUUUUUUGUAAUAUUUUAGUUGGGGCGACUGAGGAACAAUAAAAGCUUCCUUUAAAGAAGUGAUAUAAGAUAUAUUUAUGGUGAUCCAAAAUUUUGAUUAAAAGAAUUAGUUACCACAGGGAUAACAGCGUAAUCCUUUUUUAGAGUUCUUAUCGAAAAAAGGGCUUGCGACCUCGAUGUUGGAUUAAGAUUUCCAGUGGGUGUAGAAGCUCUCAUUAGGUUGGUCUGUUCGACCAUUAAAAUCUUACGUGAUCUG